UGGGGGAUAUUGCACAAUGGGGGAAACCCUGAUGCAGCAACGCCGCGUGAGGGAAGAAGGUUUUCGGAUUGUAAACCUCUGUCCUAGGUGAAGAAAGAAAUGACGGUAGCCUGGGAGGAAGCUCCGGCUAACUACGUGCCAGCAGCCGCGGUAAUACGUAGGGGGCAAGCGUUAUCCGGAUUUACUGGGUGUAAAGGGAGCGUAGGUGGCAGGGCAAGUCAGAUGUGAAAACCCGGGGCUCAACCCCGGGAUUGCAUUUGAAACUGCCCGGCUGGAGUGCAGGAGAGGUAAGUGGAAUUCCUAGUGUAGCGGUGAAAUGCAUAGAUAUUAGGAGGAACACCAGUGGCGAAGGCGGCUUACUGGACGGUAACUGACGUUGAGGCUCGAAAGCGUGGGGAGCAAACAGGAUUAGAUACC
RNAcentral lists this ribosomal RNA (417 nucleotides) under uncultured bacterium. RNAcentral describes it as "bacterial SSU rRNA". It matches the Rfam family "Bacterial small subunit ribosomal RNA", at positions 355 to 786 of the family's 1533-position model. The record is from RNAcentral.